RNAcentral lists this ribosomal RNA (448 nucleotides) under uncultured bacterium. RNAcentral describes it as "partial 16S ribosomal RNA". It matches the Rfam family "Bacterial small subunit ribosomal RNA", at positions 354 to 795 of the family's 1533-position model. The record is from RNAcentral.
GUCGAGAAUCUUUCACAAUGGGGGCAACCCUGAUGGAGCGACGCCGCGUGGAGGAUAAGGUCUUCGGAUUGUAAACUCCUGUCAUGCGUGAACAAGGUUGCUUGGUUAAUACCUGGGCAAAUUGAUGGUAACGCAAGAGGAAGAGACGGCUAACUCUGUGCCAGCAGCCGCGGUAAUACAGAGGUCUCAAGCGUUGUUCGGAAUCACUGGGCGUAAAGGGUGCGUAGGUGGCGUGGUAAGUCAGAUGUGAAAGCCCGGGGCUCAACCUCGGAACUGCAUCCGAUACUGCCAUGCUAGAGUACUGGAGGGGUGACUAGAAUUCUCGGUGUAGCAGUGAAAUGCGUAGAUAUCGAGAGGAAUACCAAAGGCGUAGGCAGGUCACUGGACAGUUACUGACACUGAGGCACGAAGGCCAGGGGAGCGAACGGGAUUAGAAACCCGAGUAGCC